AUACGUAGGGGGCGAGCGUUGUCCGGAAUGAUUGGGCGUAAAGGGCGCGUAGGCGGCGCGGUAAGUCUGGAGUGAAAGUCCUGCUUUCAAGGUGGGAAUUGCUUUGGAUACUGCCGCGCUUGAGUGCAGGAGAGGUUAUCGGAAUUCCCGGUGUAGCGGUGAAAUGCGUAGAGAUCGGGAGGAACACCAGCGGCGAAGGCGGGUAAGUGGACUGCAACUGACGCUGAGGCGCGAAAGUGUGGGGAGCAAACAGGAUUAGAUACCCUGGGAGUCCACACUGUAAACGAUGAGUGCUAGGUGUAAGAGGUAUCGACCCCUUUUGUGCCGGAGUCAACACAAUAAGCAUUCCGCCUGGGGAGUACGGCCGCAAGGUUGAAACUCAAAUGAAUUGACGGGG
RNAcentral lists this ribosomal RNA (397 nucleotides) under uncultured bacterium. RNAcentral describes it as "partial 16S ribosomal RNA". It matches the Rfam family "Bacterial small subunit ribosomal RNA", at positions 523 to 918 of the family's 1533-position model. The record is from RNAcentral.